RNAcentral lists this long non-coding RNA (247 nucleotides) under Phoenix dactylifera (date palm). RNAcentral describes it as "long non-coding RNA (PDAC_LNC001967)". Lineage: Eukaryota; Viridiplantae; Streptophyta; Magnoliopsida; Arecales; Arecaceae. The record is from RNAcentral.
UAUUAGAUGGAUAGAUUUGAUUAAAUAUUUAUUUAUGCUUAUUUAUAUAUUUGAAUAAUGUUGAGUGUUAUCCAUAUUUUUGUUCUCACUAUUCAUCUUUUGAGAUUCUCUAUUGACUUUUUGACAUUCGAAAAUAAAAAUUAUGCUCGAGUUGAUGGAAAUAGAAUUUGUCUUCAUUUGUUAAUUUGUCAGUGGAGGCCAUGCAUGGUACGCUGUGCCCUCACAUGCGCUUUGUGGGACCGCCACU